Molecule: ribosomal RNA, 301 nt
Filed under: uncultured bacterium
Lineage: Bacteria
Description: partial 16S ribosomal RNA
Rfam family: Bacterial small subunit ribosomal RNA
Source: RNAcentral
CAGUAGCCGCGGGAAUACAGAGGGUGCGAGCGUUAAUCGGAUUUACUGGGCGUAAAGCGUGCGUAGGCGGCUUCUUAAGUCGGAUGUGAAAUCCCUGAGCUUAACUUAGGAAUUGCAUUCGAUACUGGGAAGCUAGAGUAUGGGAGAGGAUGGUAGAAUUCCAGGUGUAGCGGUGAAAUGCGUAUAGAUCUGGAGGAAUACCGAUGGCGAAGGCAGCCAUCUGGCCUAAUACUGACGCUGAGGUACGAAAGCAUGGGGAGCAAACAGGAUUAGAUACCCGCGUAGUCCCUGUCUCUUAUAC